RNAcentral lists this transfer RNA (72 nucleotides) under Bos taurus (domestic cattle). It matches the Rfam family "tRNA". From Rfam's summary of the family: Transfer RNA (tRNA) molecules are approximately 80 nucleotides in length. Their secondary structure includes four short double-helical elements and three loops (D, anti-codon, and T loops). Further hydrogen bonds mediate the characteristic L-shaped molecular structure. tRNAs have two regions of fundamental functional importance: the anti-codon, which is responsible for specific mRNA codon recognition, and the 3' end, to which the tRNAs corresponding amino acid is attached (by aminoacyl-tRNA synthetases). tRNAs cope with the degeneracy of the genetic code in two manners: having more than one tRNA (with a specific anti-codon) for a particular amino acid; and 'wobble' base-pairing, i.e. permitting non-standard base-pairing at the 3rd anti-codon position. The record is from Rfam by way of RNAcentral. RNAcentral also lists the same sequence under 4 other names. Lineage: Eukaryota; Metazoa; Chordata; Mammalia; Artiodactyla; Bovidae.
UCCUUGGUGGCUCAGAUGGUAAAGAAUCUGCUUGCAAGGUAGGUGAACCAGGUUCGAUACCUGGCUUAGAAA